UUAACACAUGCAAGUCGAACGGUGAAGCCCAGCUUGCUGGGUGGAUCAGUGGCGAACGGGUGAGUAACACGUGAGCAAUCUGCCCCUGACUCUGGGAUAAGCGCUGGAAACGGCGUCUAAUACUGGAUACGAACCGUGGAGGCAUCUUCAACGGUUGGAAAGAUUUUUUGGUCAGGGAUGAGCUCGCGGCCUAUCAGCUUGUUGGUGAGGUAAUGGCUCACCAAGGCAUCGACGGGUAGCCGGCCUGAGAGGGUGACCGGCCACACUGGGACUGAGACACGGCCCAGACUCCUACGGGAGGCAGCAGUGGGGAAUAUUGCACAAUGGGCGCAAGCCUGAUGCAGCAACGCCGCGUGAGGGAUGACGGCCUUCGGGUUGUAAACCUCUUUUAGCAGGGAAGAAGCGAAAGUGACGGUACCUGCAGAAAAAGCGCCGGCUAACUACGUGCCAGCAGCCGCGGUAAUACGUAGGGCGCAAGCGUUAUCCGGAAUUAUUGGGCGUAAAGAGCUCGUAGGCGGUUUGUCGCGUCUGCUGUGAAAUCCCGAGGCUCAACUUCGGGUCUGCAGUGGGUACGGGCAGACUAGAGUGCGGUAGGGGAGAUUGGAAUUCCUGGUGUAGCGGUGGAAUGCGCAGAUAUCAGGAGGAACACCGAUGGCGAAGGCAGAUCUCUGGGCCGUAACUGACGCUGAGGAGCGAAAGGGUGGGGAGCAAACAGGCUUAGAUACCCUGGUAGUCCACCCCGUAAACGUUGGGAACUAGUUG
Molecule: ribosomal RNA, 762 nt
Filed under: Microbacterium sp.
Lineage: Bacteria; Bacillati; Actinomycetota; Actinomycetes; Micrococcales; Microbacteriaceae
Description: bacterial SSU rRNA
Rfam family: Bacterial small subunit ribosomal RNA
Source: RNAcentral